RNAcentral lists this ribosomal RNA (465 nucleotides) under Vreelandella stevensii. Its description in RNAcentral is "partial 16S ribosomal RNA". It matches the Rfam family "Bacterial small subunit ribosomal RNA", at positions 338 to 795 of the family's 1533-position model. The record is from RNAcentral. Lineage: Bacteria; Pseudomonadati; Pseudomonadota; Gammaproteobacteria; Oceanospirillales; Halomonadaceae.
CCUACGGGAGGCUGCAGUGGGGAAUAUUGGACAAUGGGGGGAACCCUGAUCCAGCCAUGCCGCGUGUGUGAAGAAGGCCCUCGGGUUGUAAAGCACUUUCAGUGAGGAAGAACGCCUGGUGGUUAAUACCCAUCAGGAAAGACAUCACUCACAGAAGAAGCACCGGCUAACUCCGUGCCAGCAGCCGCGGUAAUACGGAGGGUGCGAGCGUUAAUCGGAAUUACUGGGCGUAAAGCGCGCGUAGGUGGCUUGAUAAGCCGGUUGUGAAAGCCCCGGGCUCAACCUGGGAACGGCAUCCGGAACUGUCAAGCUAGAGUGCAGGAGAGGAAGGUAGAAUUCCCGGUGUAGCGGUGAAAUGCGUAGGGAUCGGGAGGAAUACCAGUGGCGAAGGCGGCCUUCUGGACUGACACUGACACUGAGGUGCGAAAGCGUGGGUAGCAAACAGGAUUAGAUACCCUUGUAGUC